GGACCAUCCUCCAAGGCUAAAUACUCCUGACUGACCGAUAGUGAACCAGUACCGUGAGGGAAAGGCGAAAAGAACCCCGGCGAGGGGAGUGAAAAAGAACCUGAAACCGUGUACGUACAAGCAGUGGGAGCCCCACCACUAAGCCAGUGGUGAACUCCACAUACGCAUCCUUUGCUGAGGAUACGGUUAACGGAGCGCAAGCGACGUUCAACCUCAAAAGAAGCAGAGGGGGCUUAGUGGUGGGGUGACUGCGUACCUUUUGUAUAAUGGGUCAGCGACUUAUAUUCUGUAGCAAGGUUAACCGAAUAGGGGAGCCGGAGGGAAACCGAGUCUUAAUUGGGCGUUAAGUUGCAGGGUAUAGACCCGAAACCCGGUGAUCUAGCCAUGGGCAGGUUGAAGGUUGGGUAACACUAACUGGAGGACCGAACCGACUAAUGUUGAAAAAUUAGCGGAUGACCUGUGGCUGGGGGUGAAAGGCCAAUCAAACCGGGAGAUAGCUGGUUCUCCCCGAAAGCUAUUUAGGUAGCGCCUCGUGAAUUCAUCUCCGGGGGUAGAGCACUGUUUCGGCUAGGGGGCCAUCCCGGCUUACCAACCCGAUGCAAACUGCGAAUACCGGAGAAUGUUAUCACGGGAGACACACGGCGGGUGCUAACGUCCGUCGUGAAGAGGGAAACAACCCAGACCGCCAGCUAAGGUCCCAAAGUCAUGGUUAAGUGGGAAACGAUGUGGGAAGGCCCAGACAGCCAGGAUGUUGGCUUAGAAGCAGCCAUCAUUUAAAGAAAGCGUAAUAGCUCACUGGUCGAGUCGGCCUGCGCGGAAGAUGUAACGGGGCUAAACCAU
Molecule: ribosomal RNA, 840 nt
Filed under: Salmonella enterica
Lineage: Bacteria; Pseudomonadati; Pseudomonadota; Gammaproteobacteria; Enterobacterales; Enterobacteriaceae
Description: partial 23S ribosomal RNA
Rfam family: Bacterial large subunit ribosomal RNA
Source: RNAcentral